UGCACGUCCUUUUGAGAAUUGGCAGCCAAAAAAGAAAAAAAGAAAAAUAACGAAAAGACGACAAUCCGCGAGAGUAGGAAACCGAGAAAAAAGAGAGAGGAAAGAGAUUGAAUAUUUAUUGGUGAGGAGCACAGAUUGAUUAAUCAAGCUUACACAAUGAAUAAGACUUUGCUCUCAUGCCCAUGGAUAAGUCUUCAGCCUGGAGUACCUAGAGUUUUCGUAGAGGAAUGGCAAGUGGAAUUUGGUUUUCUUGUGGAUUUCAGAGACUUGGGAUUAGGUGGAGUUGAUGUUUCCUAAAUUAUUAGAAGGGAGCAAGAAAUAAAAUUUUCAGAUUGCUACUUUUUUUCUUCUAGGUGAAUGUUGAAUAAAGUCUUCGAUAUGUAGUUGAUAAUUAGAAGCUUUGUAAUAAUGGAAUAUUUCCCUUUAGAUUGACUUUUAUUUCAAGCUGAUGAAUAUUUGUUUA
Long non-coding RNA from Asparagus officinalis (garden asparagus), 463 nucleotides. RefSeq lists it as uncharacterized. The transcript has 4 exons. The record is from RefSeq and is a predicted model, not a curated record. Lineage: Eukaryota; Viridiplantae; Streptophyta; Magnoliopsida; Asparagales; Asparagaceae.